GGCUUCUUGUUGACGGAAACCGCCUUGAUCGCAGUGGUUUGAACCGGGCAAAAGUCGUAACAAGGUUUCCGUAGUGAACUGCGGAAGGAUCAUCACUGAGUUUGCGAGCUUGUCUUGC
RNAcentral lists this ribosomal RNA (118 nucleotides) under Halomonhystera disjuncta. Its description in RNAcentral is "partial 18S ribosomal RNA". The stretch from base 1 to 95 matches the Rfam family "Eukaryotic small subunit ribosomal RNA", at positions 1735 to 1831 of the family's 1831-position model. Lineage: Eukaryota; Metazoa; Nematoda; Chromadorea; Monhysterida; Monhysteridae. The record is from RNAcentral.